AACAAUCGCCGGUUGAACGGAAAUCAUUGAUGUUGAUUAAUAAAAGAUUUAUUCUUAUUGUUU
Molecule: transfer RNA, 63 nt
Filed under: Biomphalaria tenagophila
Lineage: Eukaryota; Metazoa; Mollusca; Gastropoda; Planorbidae
Description: tRNA-Ile
Source: RNAcentral